CCUACGGGAGGCAGCAGUGGGGAAUAUUGCGCAAUGGGCGAAAGCCUGACGCAGCGACGCCGCGUGAGGGAUGAAGGUCUUCGGAUCGUAAACCUCUGUCAGCAGGGAAGAACGGUCACUGUGCUAAUCAGCAGUGAAUUGACGUUACCUGCAAAGCAAGCAUCGGCUAACUCCGUGCCAGCAGCCGCGGUAAGACGGAGGGUGCGUGCGUUAAUCGGAAUGAUUGGGCGUAAGGCGCUCGUAGGCGGUAUGUCAAGUCAAGGGUGAAAUCCCCGCGCUCAACGUGGGAACUGCCUUUGAAACUGGCAAACUUGAGUGUGUGAGAGGAUAGUGGAAUUCCAGGUGUAGGAGUGAAAUCCGUAGAUAUCUGGAGGAACAUCAGUGGCGAAGGCGACUAUCUGGCACAUAACUGACGCUGAGGAGCGAAAGCGUGGGUAGCAAACAGGAUUAGAUACCCGGGUAGUC
This 465-nucleotide ribosomal RNA is filed under the name uncultured bacterium. RNAcentral's name for it is "partial 16S ribosomal RNA". It matches the Rfam family "Bacterial small subunit ribosomal RNA", at positions 338 to 795 of the family's 1533-position model. The record is from RNAcentral.